This 13950-nucleotide long non-coding RNA is filed under the name Triticum aestivum (bread wheat). RNAcentral's name for it is "long non-coding RNA (TAES_LNC026914)". The stretch from base 4363 to 4449 matches the Rfam family "MIR1120/MIR1122 microRNA precursor family". The record is from RNAcentral. Lineage: Eukaryota; Viridiplantae; Streptophyta; Magnoliopsida; Poales; Poaceae.
AGAGAUAUUGUUUGCCAGUGAUUUGAGUGGAUCAACCGUUGGAUCUACGGACAACAAACUUGGAAUCUGUGGAGCAUAAACCAUCCGCCACCGUGCUUGUCCAAACUCACCCUUGCCUUCGAUUCUUGGCAUCAAAGUUUCUAGUGUUGCAGUUGCGAGUUUCUUGAAUGCAAGCUGUCCGUCACCUUCCAAUAGCGACUCCGCAAGCUGCGACUCAAAAACCUUUGCGGCCUAUAGCACAGCAAGAAACCAGAGUUGUAAGAGUUACACAUAAUUAGGAAAACAAAAUAACUCAGGCUCAGUUAAGUCAAUGUUUUAAUCUCCUUAUUCCACUCUUGAGUAGAGAACUGGCAAGCAACCAGCAAAAGGCAGAUUUAGCUAAUCAUAAAAACUGUUCAAUUUUUUAAGACAAGAAAUUAAAUCAUGAGAUUAUCAGGACUACAGCAAAGUUAAGCUGUAACUCAUUUGUAGAUGUAUCUUACCUCACUAGGUGACAGAACAUCCUGGUCCACGGAGCGAGUCGAGGUUACAACCAGAUUAUCUUGCCACAUGCUGGCUCGACUCAUGAUUUUGAAUUGCCAUUCAGAUCCAACAAGGACGAGAUCCAGAACAGGAUCUAAACCAAGAUCAGGCUCAAACUUUGCUACAUUUAAAUGGUCACUUUUAAGUCUAACCUGCAAUCAGGUACAGAAAUGUGAAGCAACUCAUCAUAAACCAUUUUCAAACUGGGAAAGAAAAAUGAACUUGUGCCAAACAAGGGUCAAACUAUAAAGCUUACCUGAGUAGCUACCAAGUUGACCUCACCAUUUUCAAAUGUUAAUAUACCCUUCGGCCUUAUGUACUUUGGAUGUACCAUGCCAUUAAGCUCAAGGUCACCACUGACAGCAAAAUUCAGAAUUAAAGGAUAAACAAUUCUUAAUUCUGGUCCCAGCGUGAGCUUCAAGUCAUUGAGUCGGGCAUCAAUGUUUGGCUUAAAACUUCCAUUCUCAAGAGUCCUUUCUGUUUCUGUUUGUUGACCAACGAUGCAAAAAAUUGAAAGCUCCAGUAAACCCAUAAAGAAAAUUAGAAAAACAGCAGGACAGAGAGAGGGAGAAGCAUACGCUUCUUUUAGAUAUUCACAUCAAAUGUAACGAAUUGUCACAUGUAACCAGUUAACUAGUUAAGCUAUAUGUAUCGGUCAAGCUUUGCUGUGAAAUAUUAGUGAAUGUCAAAUUAAUGGAAUACGUACUAUCUGGCGAAGUUGACAAUGCACCCAGGAAACGUGAGACAUCCUGCGAAGUAGUUGUUUGACCAAAACCAGCAAGAAGAUAGCUGGACUUGUUUGAAGCCAACCUAGUCGCCACAGCACCAUUGCCUUUAUCAUGAGGCAAAUAUGCUUCACCAUGGGUUAACCGGAUCAUCCCAGAGACAUCUGGCCGCAAUAUUGAGCCUGUAACCUGCAGCUGGCUGUCUACUUGGCCACUGUACAAAUCAAAACAAAAACAGUUUAGCAAAUGAUAAGAAGACAUAAUUUGGGAUCCUACAUAUUGCAUGUUCAAUAUGAAUUUAUGAGAUGCUUUUCAGGUUUUGGCACAGUACUGUUAACUGUUUCCAUAAACCAGCUUUAGAAGACAAUCAACCAGAUCGUGGGGUGCUUUACAUCACUCAGAAGCUGCUAGUCAGAAACUAAGCUUCAACAUAUAGUACAGAAAUCAAAAAGGAUAAAGUAGAAAUAAUUACCUUAAAACAUUUUUUGCUCGUAUAUCCAGAACUUCACAUUUCAACUCAAUCUUAUCACUGGCUGAUGGCUCACUAUUUUGCAGAGGUAGAGUCCCUUUCAUUGACAAUUUUCCCUUCCUCCCAACCCUGCUUUCCAUGGAAUUGAUGAAUAGUCUGUUGGAUAUAACAUUAACAUUACCAGCGAAAUUUGUAAGCGGCGUCCGAAGGAAAGGAGAAGUCACAGUUGCUCGGUGAAAUGAUGCAGACCCAUCAACAACAGGUUGAUCAACAGUGCCUUUAACCUUCCAUCAAAAUGGCAAAGAAAAGAGGAGGAAAAUGUUAAUCAACUGCUUCAUGUUAGAUCCAAAAUAAAAUAAAAAACUGUGGAUUCCACAGGUGGAACAAAGAACUACCUAUAAAAGACAACAUUUAUGCUUCAUAGUUUAAAUCAACAGAUAUUUUCAUCAAUCACAAUUAAUCUAUGAAAAAGAGCAAUAUGUUACGUUGUCCUUAGUGGAAUUAUGGGAAUUAAAAAAGGAUGGGCCACCUGAAGGAGCACAUCAGCAUAGCCUUGAAGCCAGUUUGCAUAAGGACUAAGUGCAGUUAUCAACAUCAUGCCACCAUCCUUUAUAUCUGCAUUUACCCUCACUUCACCUGGUUCUAGCAAAUUCCAACUUAAACCUUUUAGACUUUCAGCUAACUGAAAUUCCCAACCAUCCUCUGGCUUGUCCCUCACGAUUCUUGUUUCACUGAUAUCAUUAGAUGAUCCUCUGUCUUUCGCCCAAACAGGGAUUCUUAUAAUACCAUGUUUACCAUCUCCAGCUUCCAAAUUUUCCUCCGUGGAGCUGCUGUCGACGUAAGUCACAGGAAUACUACCUUGAAUGUUUACAUGUCCACUUUGUAUAGUUGGUUCGAUAUUUGCAUCAAAAACAAAACGGCUUGUUGGGGUUACAGAGGCCAAUACUUCAGCUCUUCCCAGAUCAAUGCCUCCGAUGGUGCCGUCAAGAAGUCUAAUUUGAACAUCACAUUCUGGUUUUGCGAGAGUGCCUCUCAAAUCUCCCUCCAUGUGUAAAAUACCUUUUAUUGGUGUCACCCAUUGCCUCAGAAAGUGAAUUGAAUCUGUAGUUGAUGAUUCUAGAGCCUGAACUAGAGCUGGUAUAAGACCAACUGGGAAAUUAAGCACAGCAAAGUGAAGAUUUGUUAGCGGGCCAAGAAUCGAUCCGUCAGCAUGAAGGGUGGCAUUAUCCUUCUGAAUAAAUAACUUAUCAAGACGCAGGCCAUCAUUAUUGCUAUAAGAACCAGAUGCCAGAACACGCUGUGUCUUGUAUGUGCCCCACUCCCAAUCUUCACCAUUGAAAUCAAAAUCAGCCUGUAUAAAUAAAGCCAUUAGGAAUCAUGUUUACAUAUAAUUCAGAGAAGAUUGUCUUGCUGAUAGUGCCAUUUACAAAGUCAAGCUUCUGUAAAUAUUUCUUCCAACAUACCAAAAGAUGUAGUGGAAAUAAACCGCUAACACAAAUACAGUACAANNNNNNNNNNNNNNNNNNNNNNNNNNNNNNNNNNNNNNNNNNNNNNNNNNNNNNNNNNNNNNNNNNNNNNNNNNNNNNNNNNNNNNNNNNNNNNNNNNNNNNNNNNNNNNNNNNNNNNNNNNNNNNNNNNNNNNNNNNNNNNNNNNNNNNNNNNNNNNNNNNNNNNNNNNNNNNNNNNNNNNNNNNNNNNNNNNNNNNNNNNNNNNNNNNNNNNNNNNNNNNNNNNNNNNNNNNNNNNNGGGGGGGGGGGUCAGUGAAGCUCGACCAAAAUGCUAGAAGUGUUAGUGUAAAGACCACUAUUAGGAGUUCAUCAAUAAUUACCGGGGCAAAAGUCUGAUAGAGUUAAUAUUUGAACAUGCUCACCAUAGUAUCUCCAUUCCCUCCUCCACUGGCAUCAAGAGAACCACGCCAGUAACCUCUCAGUUCAGCUAAGGCCGGAAGAGUUAUAUCUUCAAUUGUAUCAUCAUCCAACCAGUCGUGAUACAUUUCAACUGCCUGUUGCAAGGAAUGGGAUGAAGUUAAUAUAAGUAGCAUGUCAUAAUAACAAGGGAACCCGCUAAUAAGGGAAACCAUAACUCUAUGCCUGUGAUACAAUAUUCUAAACUCACUAUCUUUAGUACCUUUAUCUGGUCACGUAGGCUUUCAGCAUUGAACCCAACAGAAUGCAAGCAUUGCAUGAAAAGUUCCUGCAAACAAAUAUAGGAUCAAAUGGCUGCUACCAUCUAGCAGACCAUAAACACCAACGAAUAUUAUAACCAACAAAGGAAAAGAAAGAUAGAAUCACAAAUACAGAACAAACUGCACACCUUCGAUCUAGAACGAAUAACUGGAUCUGUACUUCGUGAAAGAAGUCUUGCCAGGGGAAGUAUUUCAGCUACUUCAGCAUCGGGAACUUCUAGUCUCAUCCUCCACCUGCCCAUUGAAGACAUAAUGCUACCAAGAUGCCCUCCCAUUGCUUUCUGUAUAAACCCAUUACCAUGACUUUCCAUAGGAAAUCUAUCACGUGUUCCUGGAAACACAUACUCCCCUUGAAGCUCAUACUUGCUAUUAGGUUGCUCUAGGACUGACUUUUCCAUUGUAAUCUGGGUAUUGAAAAUACAAAGAAUAGCUAGUAAGUCAACACAGCAAGGACUCACAACUACUCCCUCCGUCCCAUAAUGUAGGAUGUUUUUGGACACUAGUGUAGUGUCAAAAAACGUCCUACAUUAUGGGACGGAGGGAGUAGCUAUUAAAAAUAAGAUAAGAACCUCACUGGAAUGUAUAACUAGUGUCAAGAAAAACAACAAAUGCAUGUUAUACAUCAAUUGUUUUAUGUUUGUCAUCUGGGAAAGGCUAACAUGGGGGAUGCUAGGAACCAUGAAACUGAGUUAUAACAGUGUUUGAAGUUUCCUUACUCCAAAAAUUCUACUAAACAACUACCAAAGAGGUGGCAAAAUUCUUGAUUACAACUUACAAGUAAUACCAAACACCUGCUAAAGGUAACACAUGAGAUAUGGCUUCAACCACACAAAACAAGAAAAUAUAUGUGGGAGAAAAAAAAACUCACAACAUCACCACUCCAUCGAGCAGCUAUAUCAAGUGCUUCACCAAACACACCACUAAAUUUGGGACGGACCACUGAUAACAAACCAUGACCUCUUCUUUUCUGGAAAUUAAGCUGAACUUCUGCCUGUAACAAGAAAAGAUCUGUUACAUUAGACAUCAUUGGUGGAUUCUCCAUUUAGCAAUUGAUCACAAUUGAUUUACAACAAAUACUGGAGAAUGGAGCUUCCACAUUUAUUUAUUUUUUGAGCAGAAUUGGAGCCUCCACAUUCGACAUAUACAACUUCUCAUGAAAUGCAAGAAAAAAAAGUAUGAAUACUUAGUUAUUACUUAAGGAGCAGAAGACCACGUUGUAGUUCAAAAAAGUUUACAUCAAUUACAGAAAAUUUAUAUGGCACAGAAUACAUAAGCUAUGGACAAAUAGCAUAGCAUUAAAUAGCAGAAAACCAGAAGGUGCAGCACAGAAAAUGACAGAUGCAUAUUUUCAAUCCGAAAACUCCAUUAACUACAUCAGCACAAUAUAACAUUUUAUUAGACUGCAUCAUGUAGUUAACUGAACUAACAUCUCUCCUGCGAAAUUUAAAUUGCAGAAGUGCUUUACUAUCUGACGGCAUGCAAGCAUCAUGACUAAUUACAACUCACGUGUAUGAGACAUAGAAUCAACCAAACAGAGCUACCAACAAUACAGAACCUGAAAACAGAUUACCUAACCAAAAAAACACGGAGUAUGCCAUACUCUCAUCUAGGACAAUAUUACCUUCUGAACAAAUCCACGUAAUGAAGCAAGCUCCAGCUCGUCAAGUGGCAAAUUCCGAACCUUUACGACCAGAAGACAAGUAUCAACAAUAUCGAAACGGACUCUACAAGUCUUAUAAUGUUCAAGAAAGAUUGCUGGCAAGGAAAAUACACACACUAACACAACACUAACAGUAGUAGAGUACCUCCAAAUUAGUCAAACUUUCAGGAUGAUAACAUAUAUUAGACUUCAGCUGCCCCUUUUGGAGGAAAAUUGAUAGAAGCCUUUCAUCUUGAAUGGCGUCAUUUGUACCAAAAAACAAUGGCCCGUUCACUUCUAUGGAAAUCUUUUCAUCAGGCCUGCCGGUAGCAUUUAACUAUGUUGCAGGGGAAUAGGGAUAGUAAGAGGAAGAUGUAAGGGAAAGAGAACAACAUGUAGUCUAUGCAGAUAAAAAAUAAUAAAAAUCAACAUAACUACCAAAUGCAUACAGCACUCUCUUCAAUUAUUUGGAAGGUGCGCUUGACAUAGAAAAUCAUCACAUCAUAUAUAUCCAAGGAGAAAAUCUUUAUAUUGUGUCGAACCAUGGAGUUAGAAUUAAAGCCUCUUAAAGAGUUAAAGUUACUGAACUUAUGCCCGUUGCUCUCAUAAGUAAAAUAGUUGCUGCCAGAAUAGUUUGUGUGGGUUAAAAAUUGCUGUGAUUUGUCAGAGUAUGCUAUUAUUGCAAUGCAAUCUGUUAAGCAGCAUAAAAUGGUAACAGAAGUGAAUCAAUUUGGAUAGUGAAGUGUACCUUUAAGUGGACGAAUGGCCCUCGAGCCUUGGAGAAAAUAGUGAAUGUAUUAAAUACAUCCAUUCUUUCUAUUUUUAUUUGGUUCUCGUUUUGUAUUGCAAGGUAAUGUGCACAGAUUUUAGUAAUUUGAAGAAGUAAAAGACGGGAAGUGUUUAAAUCCAAAAUUCCACUUUACAGACUGUUACAGAUCUGUCUGUGCAUGCCACUAUUGAUGAUCCAAACUAUAGCACUUAGUGCACACAACCGAGGCACAUACAAACAAAUUGAAUUAGGCUAUAAAAUCACAUACAAGCAAUGCAAGUCAAAUUCAGAGGACGAAACAACAAAACAGCAACUUACCAUCACAGAAUCUCGUGACAAGGAAAGAAAACCAGUAGACUGAGGUGCCAGCAUGAGUUGGUUAAGUUUUAUUCCUGACAGAGAAAUCUCCCCAACAAGCCUUGACACAUCACUCUCAAGCUUACUUUGGUCCAUGAUACUUUGUAAAGCGCCAUAUAUCUUGUCAUCAACUACCUGGCUAGGUUUCACCACUUUUCCUUGAAAUUUGACCCUUCCAGAUGCUUUCAAAUGUAAUGGCCUCGGUGUAUCAAAAGGUAUUGAAGAAGCUAUAUGAGCAAAUUCAAAGCCUCGCAUACGUAAAUCCAAAUCAACACUCUCCACAACUAGUGGCAUAAUCUUUUUCAUUUGAUACAUCUCCUUGUACAGCGAGUAGUCAUCAAUAUAUGAUGUUUGAAUACGAGUAUUUAAGUCAAAGGAAACUGAUGAUGAGUUAACCAUGAUAUAAUCAUGUGCAAUAACAAUAUUGCCCCGUGCAUCAGAAAAGGAAUCUUCUGCAUUUGGUGCAGCCCAUUUGAUAUCAAAUUUCCUGUCAUAAGUUUUUGUUGUCGUUAGAAUACCAGAAAAUACAUAGCCUACUUGGCCAUUAGGACUCCAGAUGAUAGAUGUAAUGUAAGAUACUCACGGUCUAUUAAGCGGGCCAGAAAGUCUAGUUUCUCCAUUGAGCUCGCCAAUUUUCAGUGGGAUCAGCUGAAUGCCUCCAGGUAUGUACCGAUGCAAAACCUUAUCAAGUAAAAUGCUCCCGGAUAAAUUAAUAUCCAUAGCAGAAUCAUCACCUUCCCCCUGCAGAGAUCUAAAUAUGUAUUAUACUUGCAUAAUGUGGUAAAUUUAUUUUGCAUCAUAAGAACAGCAGAGUAUCUAUUGGAUUUGUACAGCUAGUACAAAAAAAUCUGUGUAAGCUCUUAGGAAUACGCUGCUAGUAUUCCAUUUAUUUCGGUAGAGUACAAACUGAUAAGUUAUACACCCUCCGUCCCAAAAUAAGGGCCGCUGAUUUAGUACAAAGGACACUUAUGUUGGGAUGGAGGGGGUAGUUGCUAUUUCCAAUGCUCCAGGGGCUCAAUAGUAGACAUUCACUGUAAGCCCAGAGAAAUAAACAAACAAAUGGCUUAGCUAGGAUGUAAUUAUGAUGUCUAUGGCGAGGCCAAAGUUGUGAAUAAUGGACCUAAGAGUUUGGAAGGUUCUUCAUGAAUGCAUUUGCAUAGUUCGUUUCCAUAUGUAUUUUCAAUUUACAAAGUCCUGAUGGCUACUCUACGUUUUCGAAUAUUAUUCUUGAUAAUGAUACAGGAAGAACAAAUGCUUGGAUGACUAUAGAUGUAGAAAAAAGUCUGCUGAAAAUUAGCGCAAACAUGAAAAGAUGGCUGGCUGGAAGUGUAAUCAAAUAAUCAAUAGUCACAAUACCUCUGGGCAAAUCCAUGCAUUACCAGCCCCUCGAAUUUCUCCACCAUCCAAAAGACAUGCUCUAAUACCAUAUAAGUCUGCAACCUGCAGCCAGUCAUAACAAAGAGAAAUUAGUUGUUCCAAUUUCACAAACUUCAAUAACGGAAAAAAAUAGUGGCUCUAUUUCUACUCACACAGUUGUCAAGGUUGAAAGUGAAAUUCGCUGAUACAUGAGAGAAGGGAAUAUGAUCAAACGCAGCAACUGCACCAGCCUCCUUGUUUUGAAUCACAGCUUCAGAAGCUGCAGAUGGAGGCAUACCAGAUACUGAAAGGGACUUCCUUGAGACAAUCCCACUUCCAACAAAAACAGGAGCAUCAAGAGGUCCUUGACAAUUAAAUACAGCAGUAACAGCACCAGCCACCUAAAUAAGAUAAGAAGUGUACCAGCAGUUAAGUGGAUGAACAUGAAAAUUUAGCCAAAAGAUUUUUUUAAACACAUACAUCAUUGAUAGAGAUCAUCCUAAGCUAUUGUUAACAAACAAAUGAGACAGAACUGCUUAAAUGGUAUUUCAGGAACAGUUUGCGGUGCUGAACUGCGAUGUGUUGAUCAUAUUUUAAUAUUUUAUAUGUACUGCAGAAAAUAGCUACAGAAAAAAAAGGUUGAUUGAAGAAAUGGUAAUAUUAAGCUGGUCAGACAAACGGAAUUAUCACUAUCCAUAAGAGUGGUCAUUUUGCUUCAUCAAGAAGUUGAUUUUUAAUGCUAAGAACCAUGAUAACUGGUAUUUUAAGAUAAAUCACAAGUGUCAUUGUCGGGCAAUUCAAAUGAGUGGAAUAAACCAUCUAUCAUACAACUACAUAAAUAAGUCAGGUUGUGCAGUGCAUUUUAUAUUCAAGUCAAACUUAUUUUUCGUGUUGUGCCAUAUAUGUGGUUUCAGUAUAGCUAACUCCAGAUAUGAGUUCAGAUAGAUCAUCGCAAUGAAUCGGCAGUACAAAAUAGAGUCUGUUGUUUUUCGCUGCAUGCAGGAAUCUAGUAUUUCCAAAUAAGUCGAGUAAAGUAUGUCGAACCGGAAACAUCAGAGGCUUCAUUUUCACCGACUUCAUAAGCGCAUUAACUUCAACAGAUGGAACCUGAAAAAAAAGAUAUCAAGUAAAUGUAUGAGUUGCUGUUUAGGGGACUACAUGUAUAUACAAUGUAAUUAUCAACUUAAAGAUACCUGGCACAUUAGAUGGAACUCUCCAUCCUCAGGAUUUAAACCAAAAUCGCCAGAAGUUUCAACCGGAACAUCACCAAACCAACCACUUGCAUUAUGCAGAAAUACUCUUUGACCACGGAAUGACAGAGUUGCCACUAUUUCCUGAAUAUGUUGAGGCUUCCAUUAAAAACUAUAAUCACUUGGAAUGUUUGCAGCAGCAAUAUUUGGAAAGUAGUUACUAUUUGCAUAUCAAAGUACGGAAAUUCGGAAGACAUCUGAGCACAUGUGGCCUAGUUUUCACAUCAGAGCUAAAUGUCAGCGUCUGAAAUAGAUGCUUAAUUUGAAAUGCCAAUGACUGAUCUGUUUCUUACUACACUGCAGAUCAACAGCACCCACCCUGAGGUGCCCUGAGAACACGCUAUAUAGCAGCCACUAAUAUGACAAUAUCGCUUCGCCAACACCUCAUUCUUCAGUCUCUUUCUCCCUUAGCUACAUUAUGCCAGAAACUUGUGCAUCCAGCAUACAUGUGUUGAAGUGUGGUAUAUGUGGAUUGCCUAGCCCUUUCCAUCAGUUUGGACUUUUGGUUUUGUUGGUUAGUGCACGAAGCUCAACCCAAUGGAUAUCAUUUGUCAAUACUGGAAACCAUAAGUAUAAAUGUUGGUUAUAAUGAAGUAUGGCCAAUUGUUGCACAUCAAAAUCCAAAUUUUGGGUAGUCGAUAAAAUUUUCACGUUUUAGUAAAUUCUAGGCAAACCCACAUAGUAUAGAAGUUCUUUCCAGGAAAAUCAACAAUAAUGAAACUGGCCCACCUGAUGAUUCAUCUAUUAUUCCUGGAAACCCUCAUGAAUUUCUAGCUAUACCCCUGAUUCUAGUCAUUUCAACAAUAUUCACCAGCGACCAAUUGUGUUUACUUUUAAAGAAGUAACUAGGCACUCAUUUUUCACCCGCAACACAACACUCUAGUUUGGUAAAGUAAGGGGUCAAUGACCUACAAGAAUAUUGGUAGCUCAGGUUAAUGGCAAAUCAACAAGAAGACAUUAAAGCCAUGUUAAUCUGUCUUGUGCCUAUGAAAACUGAUUCCGCGCAAGACCCUACUUAUUACAAACAUGCAGAGUUGGAAAAACAAAUGAGAUAAGGUAUAAGUAUACCGAAAAUGAUGAGGGAGCAUCUAAUAUCUGAAAACCUAGGCCUUUCACAUCAAGCUGGCCAUGAAUGCUCGGAAAACUAUCACCUUUCGACAUACAGAUAUGCACCUGGAGAAGGAAAAGGAGAAAUAUUGCUGUACGCAUUUAGUAUCUCCAAGCAUGAAAAAAAGCAGUUCCCGUGAGGCAUGUAUGUCUAGCACUCUAGAUGUAGCAAUGUAGCAUGAACCUUGUGGCAAGUUCAGUUAUUCGUUAAGUGCAUGUGGAAGUCAUGUCCAGGUAUUGUCUAAAUUGUAUGCACAAGUGGCUGAUAUUAAUAGUGAAAUUGAACAUGCAAGAGAUUAAGUUUAGAAAAGCACCUCACCAGUUGCUCUUCCUUUGUGCCAGACAACUGGUAUUUCUAGGAUACGCUCAAACAGCUGCACAUGAAAAAUUGCUCUUCAAUACAAGAACUAAGAACUGUAGCAUCUUGUAUACAUAAUAAAAGUAGGUGCAUUACCGGGGCAAAAGCAUUGACUACAUUCAGAUUAGCAUGCCAUGUUUGCUCCGCUAUGUCAACAAAGACAUCUGUAGAAAGAUAACCCCCUCCUUGAGAAGUUUGAUCUUGUCUCCACUCCAUGCAGUUCCCAGUGACAUGCACAUGUACACGAUUAUAGGAGUUUUUGAACUUGACGUGUCCAUUAGCCUGUUUCAUUUCCCUACAAUAGUAAGGCAACGACUACAAACUUAGUUGAUGUUCAUUUAUAAUGCCGCAGUUGCACCCCAGCCCCCUUUUGGAAGAGCCUAUAAUAAUGCACUGAAUAAUACAAGUAAGAUAAGUUGAAAUAUACUGCACCCUCAUUACAGUAAUUUACUUGACAAUAUAACUCCUGAUAAUAAGAAUUAACAAUAUAAAUCCGAACACCGGUUAUGAGAAUAUUUAUUGUUCACAGAAAUUUAAUUGUUGGGGAAUGCAGUAAAUUCAUGGGAAGAGACAGAUGAUCACAAAAUUACCCCAAUAUAAGUUCCAACAGUGAUACACUAAUACAUUUUGAAAAUGCACAAGAAAGGAGAAGAGCAUAUAUUUGCAAUAGAAAUGGCAAAUGAUGAGGUCAAACCUUGGUUCCUGAUCACCGUAUCCUAGAAGCAUCAAGUUCCCUCCACUGAAAUAAACAGAAUCCAGUGUGAUAGGAAGCAUAUGCUGAGCCCCACCAGGAUUUAUCUGGUCAACCCCUUCUACGAGUCCAGCAGGGGCAUCUUCAAGACCGAUAGCAAAUCGCGACUUCAACUUUUGAAUUUCAACACCCAGAGAAGCAUAUGGUGCAUUAAAAUGAACACGGGAGCCCUUUGCCUGCAAAGGCCAAAAUGACUGACUAAUAUUAUCUUCAGAAAGACUCUCAAAUUCCUCCAACAUGCGGCCUUGGUACAAGUUGCCCUCGCCAUGCUGCACAUCUUCCAAAUGGUUGCAUACCAACAUUUUGUUAUCGGAGUGAUGCAAACUAUGCUGACUAGGUUGUUGAUUAUGAGAAUGCUCCGCAUGCACAUCAUUUGCAUCGAUGAUUGGCAUUGCACUUGCAGAUUUGCCUUCACCUAGACAGUCCAGACAACGACUACUAUUUAAUGGAAAUUCACCAGAAUUCUCUGGUGCAGUAGCAGAGCUGACAAUUGGUGCAUAAUUUGAAGUGGCUUUGCCAGAACCAGCAUUUGCAUGACCUCCUCCGUUAGAUGAAUUAUUCCCAGAACCAGGGGAUGAGUUAUCAGGAUUACCACUCUCCAUGUUUUCAAAAUAUGCCACAGCAGCCUGUGCACUACGCCGAAGGAUCCUUUCCUGAGAGGAAUUGUCGAUGCCUGAUACCACCUUGUUGUGACCUUUCCUCUUGUAUCUUCGCUUUCUAGGGUUCGGGAUCAUCCUAGACCAGAAGUUGAUGCCCGGGAUACGCGAUUUCACACCGAAUGAUUUCUCCAGAUCCGCAUGCUUUGAGCUAGAGUCAAUAAUGCCUGGAUCCAUGUGUCGAUCGUUCCUGUGCAUCUCAUCAGCACAGAGGGGCGGGCUACUGGAUUUCCCAUUUCCGACAGGUCCAUCGUCCUCCAGCAUCUCGUCAGCCGAACGUGAAGUGGAUUGGCCACUGGGAACUGCGUAUCCCCUUCGAGCAGAUUCCCUAGCAGCUCUGUCCCUCUCCUCGUCCCACUGCCCCCCAGCCUUCUCCCUGGCGAGCCUCCUGGUCUUGGUACGGUAGUCAAUGCCCUCCUCCGCCGAAUUCCUCUUGGGCUUCCCCUCCUUGGACGGCGCGGGGAUGCCCAGCCAGGAGAAAUCCUUCCUCUGCGCGACGAGCGCGGUGGGGUCGGAGAGCAGGGCGUCGACGACGACCCGCCCCCUCCUGAGGCUGGCGAAGGGCCUGACCCUGAUCUUCAUGACGGGCACCUCGGCGCAGGAGAACUCGUCGGCGCGCGGGCCGACGGAGCAGGUGUGGAGCGUGAUCCCGAGCGGCGAGACGCUGCGCGCCCCGCCGACGCGGACCUCCCGCUGGAGGUAGUCCCCGAGCGCGGCGCAGGCGGCCGGGAGGAGGCGCGCCUCGACGAAGGCCCGCGCACGGUGCUGCGCGUACCAUGAGAGCGCUGCGGCGACGGAGAGCACGGCGGCGAAGGCGGAGCAGCGCACGAGGAAGAGGCCCUCCCGCCAUACGGAGGCGAGGGAGCCGAUCAGGGCCCGCAGCGGCGGCGGGCGGUGGUGGUCGUGGCCGUGGCUGGGGAGGCAGUCGCUCGAGUCGGAGACCCUGAGGCGGAGCAGCGGGGGCGGGUCGAGGCGCGCGAGGGUUAGGAUGGGCCUCGGGGCGUGGCGGCGGCCGCGGCCGCCGCGCGCGCGGCGAGGCCGGCAGACGAGGAGGGGCGGCGGCGCGAGGGAGGGCGAGACGCGGAGGCAGUGCGACAUUGCGCCGGGCUGGCCGCCUAGGUGACCAUUUGCGUGCGGCGGGAGAAAGAGAGAUGGGACGGGUGGGUGGAAUAGUAGUCACCGGCAGUGGGCGAGCCGAGAGAGAGAGAUGGGCGGGGGAGAGAUGCUUGCCUCUCGCUGGGGUCGUUGCCUACUUGCCGUGCUCGCUUCUUUUUGGAUUUUGCCGCAGAUGAUUUGUCUUCCCUUCGCCUCUUCUUGUCUCGCCUCCUCUUUGUGAUGAAAGCGAAAGACCAGACAAGCUAAUUAUUUCGCUUCUCUCUCCCGUACAAAAUGGCCUACCAGCAGCAUAUGGAAUGAAUGUUUUCAGAGGGCAAAAAUAACAAAGAUACUCCUACCAAAGAAGGCAUCGGAAACCUAAAGACAACCAUGAAGCAUCAUCCACAGACACAGAGCGAGAGGAAAAGUACCCAAGAGGCCCUGUUGGCCAUGUUGUUGUCUAUCAUAAGUUCAACCGGAUCAACACAAUUCAAAACACAAUUACAACGACCGUUCUGGUGACCACGAAGGCCUUCCAGAAUUCCGAAACCGAAUAUCAGAAAGGCGCUCCAUGGUCACCAUAAAUACACAACUCUGGGGAGGACUGGAUGGGGAAAAAGUUUAUUGCGACGGGUCCAAAACGAACAAGGGGAUCAUUCAUUAUCGAAACUCAGGAGCAUCUCAAAACUUGGGCGGCCCGUCGCGUUUUU